Long non-coding RNA from Gallus gallus (chicken), 489 nucleotides. The record is from Ensembl. NCBI's taxonomy places the organism in Eukaryota, Metazoa, Chordata, Aves, Galliformes, Phasianidae.
CUUGUCCUAUCGCUAUCAUCAGGAGAAAGAGAGGGGCUGGCUGCAGAACAGAAGCUGAGCACGGGUGCAAAGGAGGUGCACACUGGAUGAGUCUUCACACCGAUGCAGAAUAUUUGAUCAAGAUCAGCUCAAGUCCUUCUCCUGGUUGUCAGACCUUUCAGCCCGUGGCCUUAAUGGAGCUUUUGGACUUCAUCUGGCUGCUGGCAGCUCUCCCCACGAAGAUGGGGAGCUCUCAGAAUGGCAGGAAGAGCUCAAGAAACAUAUUUUCCAAGGAACAUAUUCAGAGAAAGCCACUCCUACAAUUCUUGUGCAGUAGGAAAACUGCACAUUGGCAGUGAAAUAUACAGGACUGUGUGAAAGCUACCUUUAAAGAAAAACAACAACAAAAAGGAAGCAAAUGUGUAAUACAGAGAGGAUGAGUCCGUUCUGAGGAGGCGUGGUGUUAUAUCGCACAGCCUUCCUGUUUGGUUAUGAGCUGCCACCCCAGCA